ACACCCAGGCCUAGUAGUAAGGGCGAAUGAUUGAAUCUCAUUGGUCAGGGGUUCGAUUCCCCAUCGGGUGAG
Molecule: non-coding RNA, 72 nt
Organism: Rhododendron molle
Lineage: Eukaryota; Viridiplantae; Streptophyta; Magnoliopsida; Ericales; Ericaceae
Source: the annotation of a GenBank genome assembly